This 328-nucleotide long non-coding RNA is filed under the name Brassica napus (rape). RNAcentral's name for it is "long non-coding RNA (BNAP_LNC020347)". Lineage: Eukaryota; Viridiplantae; Streptophyta; Magnoliopsida; Brassicales; Brassicaceae. The record is from RNAcentral.
UGAACUUAUGAUAGACCAAGUGUGUAAACCUAUUAUUAUGAAUCUAUGGAUCAUGUAUGGAUCUCAUUUAUUAUAUAUACAAUCCGAUUUGCCUUAUGUUUACUUGAUAAGAUUGUUUGUUCAUGAACCUCACUUGAAAUGGAAUUGAACUUAGUAUUUAAAAGACCUUAAAACCGCAAUCAGACAUUCAAAUGUUGGAUGGUAAGGUCGCAGAUCAGUUUGGGCUUAGAGCCGGGAUCGGGCCUUCCAAGUUGGUAUCAGAGCAUGCUUGAUUCUAGGAUUUGUUGGGUUAUGUGUUCACCACACUUCUGGCUUGGGUCUCACGGUA